Magnolia sinica is the source of this 361-nucleotide long non-coding RNA. RefSeq lists it as uncharacterized. The record is from RefSeq and is a predicted model, not a curated record. The transcript is spliced from 2 exons. Lineage: Eukaryota; Viridiplantae; Streptophyta; Magnoliopsida; Magnoliales; Magnoliaceae.
UUGUCUACUCAUUAGAGCGACUUGGUUUGUGCCUCUACCAUUGGAGACUCAGGCAGAAGCCUCCUAUGAACAAGAAGCUAUCUAUCAGUAUGAGAAUGAGGAGGAUGACGAUCUGGAUGAUGAAGCUUACUUUGGAAGCUCCUCAAGCCUUCGUAUCGGUAGCUAUACUUUCAGACAACCAAACAAGCUAUAGUUGUUCAUCAACCAAGCAAAAGUCAUACCCAAAUCUUACGUUGUGACUUUGUAUUAUUUGUGGAACCUAGUGUUGUGUAAUAGUUUGAUUGAGUUUGUUUUGAAAACUUUAAAUAGACUGUUGUUAACUAUUUUGUUGGUAUUGUGGCUUUCAUGAUUGAUUGUUUCA